RNAcentral lists this ribosomal RNA (253 nucleotides) under uncultured bacterium. RNAcentral's name for it is "partial 16S ribosomal RNA". It matches the Rfam family "Bacterial small subunit ribosomal RNA", at positions 524 to 776 of the family's 1533-position model. The record is from RNAcentral.
UACGAGGGGUGCAAGCGUUGCUCGGAAUUAUUGGGCGUAAAGGGUAGGUAGGUGGUCUUAUUUGUCAGGGGUGAAAGCCUUGGGCUUAACCCGAGAAGUGCCCCUGAAACGGUAAGACUUGAGUCUUGGAGAGGUGAGUGGAAUUCCCGGUGUAGCGGUGAAAUGCGUAGAGAUCGGGAGGAACACCAGAGGCGAAGGCGGCUCACUGGACAAGCACUGACACUCAACUACGAAAGCGUGGGGAGCAAACAGG